This 98-nucleotide transfer RNA is filed under the name Actinocatenispora thailandica. Its description in RNAcentral is "tRNA-Ala". Lineage: Bacteria; Bacillati; Actinomycetota; Actinomycetes; Micromonosporales; Micromonosporaceae. The record is from RNAcentral.
AAUCCGGGUGGCGGGGUGCGUCGGGCUCGGUGCGCUGGCACUGGGCCGGCCUGCCGGACGCCCGGCCGGACGGCGACGGUCGUCUCGUCGCCGAGUUG